GGUUUCUGCUAAGUCGCAAGACGAUGUAUAGGAGCUGACGCCUGCCCGGUGCUGGAAGGUUAAGGGGAUCUGUUAGAGCAAUCGAAGCAGUGAACUUAAGCCCCAGUAAACGGCGGCCGUAACUAUAACGGUCCUAAGGUAGCGAAAUUCCUUGUCGGGUAAGUUCCGACCCGCACGAAAGGCGUAACGAUUUGGGCACUGUCUCAACAACAGACUCGGUGAAAUUGUAAUUCCGGUGAAGAUGCCGGAUACCUGCGACAGGACGGAAAGACCCCAUGGAGCUUUACUGUAGCUUGACAUUGGGUCUUGGUACUACAUGUACAGGAUAGGUGGGAGGCUUUGAAACCAGGACGCCAGUUUUGGCGGAGCCAUCCUUGGGAUACCACCCUUGUAGUACUGGGACUCUAACCAUAGGCCAUGAAUCUGGUCUUGGGACACUGUCAGGUGGGCAGUUUGACUGGGGCGGUCGCCUCCCAAAAGGUAACGGAGGCGCUCAAAGGUUCUCUCAGUACGGUCGGAAAUCGUACGUAGAGUGUAAAGGCAAAAGAGAGCUUGAUUGCAAGACAUACAGGUCGAGCAAGGAUGAAAAUCGGACUUAGUGAUCCGGUGGUUCUGCGUGGAAGGGCCAUCGCUCAACGGAUAAAAGCUACCCUGGGGAUAACAGGCUUAUCUCCCCCAAGAGUCCACAUCGACGGGGAGGUUUGGCACCUCGAUGUCGGCUCAUCACAUCCUGGGGCUGUAGUAGGUCCCAAGGGUUGGGCUGUUCGCCCAUUAAAGUGGUACGCGAGCUGGGUUCAGAACGUCGUGAGACAGUUCGGUCCCUAUCCGUCGCAGGCGUAGGAAAUUUGAGAAGACCUGUCCUUAGUACGAGAGGACCGGGAUGGACG
RNAcentral lists this ribosomal RNA (887 nucleotides) under Clostridioides difficile. Its description in RNAcentral is "partial 23S ribosomal RNA". It matches the Rfam family "Bacterial large subunit ribosomal RNA", at positions 1818 to 2703 of the family's 2925-position model. Lineage: Bacteria; Bacillati; Bacillota; Clostridia; Peptostreptococcales; Peptostreptococcaceae. The record is from RNAcentral.